AUUGAACGCUGGCGGCAUGCCUUACACAUGCAAGUCGAACGGCAGCACGGGAGCAAUCCUGGUGGCGAGUGGCGAACGGGUGAGUAAUAUAUCGGAACGUGCCCGGUCGUGGGGGAUAACGUAGCGAAAGCUACGCUAAUACCGCAUACGAUCUACGGAUGAAAGCGGGGGAUCGCAAGACCUCGCGCGAUUGGAGCGGCCGAUAUCAGAUUAGGUAGUUGGUGAGGUAAAGGCUCACCAAGCCGACGAUCUGUAGCUGGUCUGAGAGGACGACCAGCCACACUGGGACUGAGACACGGCCCAGACUCCUACGGGAGGCAGCAGUGGGGAAUUUUGGACAAUGGGCGCAAGCCUGAUCCAGCAAUGCCGCGUGCAGGAUGAAGGCCUCGGUUGUAACUAGCUUUGUACGGUAACGAAACGGUAGAGCUCUAAUACAGUUUGCUAAUGACGGUA
This 453-nucleotide ribosomal RNA is filed under the name uncultured bacterium. Its description in RNAcentral is "bacterial SSU rRNA". It matches the Rfam family "Bacterial small subunit ribosomal RNA", at positions 30 to 477 of the family's 1533-position model. The record is from RNAcentral.